GCUGCUGUAGCUCAGUGGUAGAGCGCACCCUUGGUAAGGGUGAGGCCGGGAGUUCAAUUCUCCCCAGCAGCACCA
This 75-nucleotide transfer RNA is filed under the name Alphaproteobacteria bacterium. Its description in RNAcentral is "tRNA-Thr". It matches the Rfam family "tRNA". From Rfam's summary of the family: Transfer RNA (tRNA) molecules are approximately 80 nucleotides in length. Their secondary structure includes four short double-helical elements and three loops (D, anti-codon, and T loops). Further hydrogen bonds mediate the characteristic L-shaped molecular structure. tRNAs have two regions of fundamental functional importance: the anti-codon, which is responsible for specific mRNA codon recognition, and the 3' end, to which the tRNAs corresponding amino acid is attached (by aminoacyl-tRNA synthetases). tRNAs cope with the degeneracy of the genetic code in two manners: having more than one tRNA (with a specific anti-codon) for a particular amino acid; and 'wobble' base-pairing, i.e. permitting non-standard base-pairing at the 3rd anti-codon position. Lineage: Bacteria; Pseudomonadati; Pseudomonadota; Alphaproteobacteria. The record is from RNAcentral.